This 89-nucleotide non-coding RNA is filed under the name Pseudosulfitobacter pseudonitzschiae. RNAcentral describes it as "Sulfitobacter pseudonitzschiae TPP riboswitch aptamer (THI element)". It matches the Rfam family "TPP riboswitch aptamer (THI element)". Rfam says of the family: Vitamin B(1) in its active form thiamin pyrophosphate (TPP) is an essential coenzyme that is synthesised by coupling of pyrimidine and thiazole moieties in bacteria. The previously detected thiamin-regulatory element, thi box was extended, resulting in a new, highly conserved RNA secondary structure, the THI element, which is widely distributed in eubacteria and also occurs in some archaea. RNAcentral also lists the same sequence under 1 other name. Lineage: Bacteria; Pseudomonadati; Pseudomonadota; Alphaproteobacteria; Rhodobacterales; Roseobacteraceae. The record is from Rfam by way of RNAcentral.
UCUGCGUACCAGGGGCGCUGCAAAGCUGAGACGUACCCUUUGAACCUGACCCAGAUAAUGCUGGCGUAGGGAGGUCGUAUGUUCCGCUU